Molecule: ribosomal RNA, 253 nt
Filed under: uncultured bacterium
Lineage: Bacteria
Description: partial 16S ribosomal RNA
Rfam family: Bacterial small subunit ribosomal RNA
Source: RNAcentral
UACGAAGGGUGCAAGCGUUAGUCGGAAUUACUGGGCGUAAAGCGUGCGUAGGCGGUUUCUUAAGUCGGAUGUGAAAGCCCUGGGCUCAACCUGGGAAUGGCACUCGAUACUGGGAAGCUGGAGUGCGGUAGAGGAGGGUGGAAUUCCCGGUGUAGCGGUGAAAUGCGUAGAGAUCGGGAGGAACAUCAGUGGCGAAGGCGACCCUCUGGACCAGCACUGACGCUGAGGCACGAAAGCGUGGGGAGCAAACAGG